This 373-nucleotide ribosomal RNA is filed under the name uncultured cyanobacterium. RNAcentral's name for it is "bacterial SSU rRNA". It matches the Rfam family "Bacterial small subunit ribosomal RNA", at positions 407 to 795 of the family's 1533-position model. Lineage: Bacteria; Bacillati; Cyanobacteriota. The record is from RNAcentral.
GAGGAAGGUUUUUGGAUCGUAAACCCCUUUUGUCAAGGAAGAAGCUCUGACGGUACUUGACGAAUAAGCCUCGGCUAACUCCGUGCCAGCAGCCGCGGUAAUACGGAGGAGGCAAGCGUUAUCCGGAAUGAUUGGGCGUAAAGCGUCUGUAGGUGGCCAGCUAAGUCUGCUGUUAAAGAUCACAGCUCAACUGUGGGAAGGCAGUGGAAACUGGCAAGCUAGAGGUUGGUAGGGGUAAAGGGAAUUCCCGGUGUAGCGGUGAAAUGCGUAGAUAUCGGGAAGAACACCGGUGGCGAAAGCGCUUUACUGGGCCAGACCUGACACUGAAGGACGAAAGCUAGGGGAGCGAAAGGGAUUAGAUACCCCUGUAGUC